UACGUAGGUGACCAGCGUUGUCCGGAUUUACUGGGCGUAAAGAGCGCGCAGGCGGUCGUUUAAGUCGAGUGUGAAAGCCCCCGGCUCAACUGGGGAGGGUCAUUCGAUACUGAUCGACUUGAAGGCAGGAGAGGGAAGUGGAAUUCCCGGUGUAGUGGUGAAAUGCGUAGAUAUCGGGAGGAACACCAGUGGCGAAGGCGACUUCCUGGCCUGUUCUUGACGCUGAGGCGCGAAAGCUAGGGGAGCAAACGGG
RNAcentral lists this ribosomal RNA (253 nucleotides) under uncultured bacterium. Its description in RNAcentral is "partial 16S ribosomal RNA". It matches the Rfam family "Bacterial small subunit ribosomal RNA", at positions 524 to 776 of the family's 1533-position model. The record is from RNAcentral.